AUACGGAGGAUGCGAGCGUUAUCCGGAUUUAUUGGGUUUAAAGGGAGCGUAGGUGGGAUAUUAAGUCAGCUGUGAAAGUUUGGGGCUCAACCUUAAAAUUGCAGUUGAUACUGGUUUCCUUGAGUACGGUACAGGUGGGCGGAAUUCGUGGUGUAGCGGUGAAAUGCUUAGAUAUCACGAAGAACUCCGAUCGCGAAGGCAGCACACCGAGCCGGAACUGACACUGAUGCUCGAAAGUGCGGGUAUCAAACAGGAUUAGAUACCCUGGUAGUCCGCACAGUAAACGAUGAAUACUCGCUGUUUGCGAUACACGGUAAGCGGCCAAGCGAAAGCAUUAAGUAUUCCACCUGGGGAGUACGCCGGCAACGGUGAAACUCAAAGGAAUUGACGGGG
This 393-nucleotide ribosomal RNA is filed under the name uncultured bacterium. RNAcentral's name for it is "partial 16S ribosomal RNA". It matches the Rfam family "Bacterial small subunit ribosomal RNA", at positions 523 to 918 of the family's 1533-position model. The record is from RNAcentral.